This is a non-coding RNA of Schistosoma curassoni, 45 nucleotides long. NCBI's taxonomy places the organism in Eukaryota, Metazoa, Platyhelminthes, Trematoda, Strigeidida, Schistosomatidae. The record is from Rfam.
AUCGAGCUGGCGAGUCCCAAAUAGGACGAAACGCGCAUCCUGGAU